CAGUCGAACGGACUCAUAUUGAAACCUAGUGAUUUAUGAGUUAGUGGCGGACGGGUGAGUAACGCGUGGAUAACCUACCGUAUACCGGGGGAUAACACUUAGAAAUAGGUGCUAAUACCGCAUAAGCGCACGGCUCCGCAUGGGGCAGUGUGAAAAACUCCGGUGGUAUACGAUGGAUCCGCGUCUGAUUAGCUAGUUGGCGGGGUAACGGCCCACCAAGGCAGCGAUCAGUAGCCGGCCUGAGAGGGUGGACGGCCACAUUGGGACUGAGACACGGCCCAAACUCCUACGGGAGGCAGCAGUGGGGAAUAUUGCACAAUGGGGGAAACCCUGAUGCAGCGACGCCGCGUGAGUGAAGAAGUAUCUCGGUACGUAAAGCUCUAUCAGCAGGGAAGAAAAUGACGGUACCUGACUAAGAAGCCCCGGCUAACUACGUGCCAGCAGCCGCGGUAAUACGUAGGGGGCAAGCGUUAUCCGGAUUUACUGGGUGUAAAGGGAGCGUAGACGGCAGCACAAGUCUGGAGUGAAAUCCCGGGGCUUAACCCCGGAACUGCUUUGGAAACUGUGCGGCUGGAGUGCAGGAGGGGUAAGCGGAAUUCCUAGUGUAGCGGUGAAAUGCGUAGAUAUUAGGAGGAACACCGGUGGCGAAGGCGGCUUACUGGACUGUAACUGACGUUGAGGCUCGAAAGCGUGGGGAGCAAACAGGAUUAGAUACCCUGGUAGUCCACGCCGUANACGAUGAUUACUAGGUGUCGGGGGANCAAGGUCCUCCGGUGCCGGCGCAAACGCAUU
This 792-nucleotide ribosomal RNA is filed under the name uncultured bacterium. RNAcentral describes it as "bacterial SSU rRNA". It matches the Rfam family "Bacterial small subunit ribosomal RNA", at positions 59 to 861 of the family's 1533-position model. The record is from RNAcentral.